ACCUAAAUAAAUUAUGAAAUACUAACAAAAAAAAGUCAAAAAAAAGGUCGGACAAGCUAAUAAGCAAACAAAAGUUGGACUUCUAGAAAAUUAAACUAAAAUUCGGACCAACUAAACUAUGUAGAAAAUUCGGACUACUAUUAAAUAGAAAAUUCGGACUCCUAAACAAGAACAAGAAAAAUUCGGAACUAUGUGUAUAAACUAAAAUUCAGACACACUAACCUAGAUAAAAGUCGGACGAUGAAAUUCGGACUCUACUAAAACAAGACAAAAGUCGGACUCUUAUAUGAUAAUAAACAAAAGUCAAAGGUCGGACCUAUCUCAUGAAUAUUCUAAAAUUCGGACAACCAGAAACUCGGACCUGAGAACUAAAUAAAAGUUUAAAAAGUCGGACUUAACUAAAGGCUAAAAAAUUCGGACAAGAUAAACUCUAAACUCAGACCCUCUAAAACUCAGAAGAACCAAUCUCCGGACUAUCUCCCCAAUGUGACUACACACUGGUUCAACAAUACCGCGGAGACACAAACACAGAAUGUAAACCACGGACAAAGCUUCCAAAGAUCAAACUCAGAAUCUUUUUCACCUUCAAAACUCUGUAUGAACAAGAACCAAAAACCCCUGUAAAACCCAGAUGAAGAAUAACACUAAAAAUCACUAAACUACUCAAAAUCCAUCAUCAAAUCACUAGAUAUGAAUGAAGAAUCAUGAAUAAAACACAAAAACUCACUAAACUCUCACUAAACCCUAUCAAAGUAUGAACUUUUCUCACCAAAACCUUCAAACUAAGAACACCUACAGUAGUAUGAGCACACUGCUCUGAUACCACUUGUAAGGCCUCCUAAUCCAAGAUCUCACUCAGCUAAAGCAACCAACAGGUGUGCGGAAUCCACCUGAUGAUCAACCACUGCAUAUGAAACACUAGUAUGCAAGGAUUUGAGAGAGAAAUCAAGAAUACACUAAGUAUUCUUGAUGAAGAAGAUGAAUAUGAAUGACGUCACUCACACAAAGCAGCCGCCAGACAAAACACAAUGAUUAGGGUUAGGUGCACAGAAUUUCACACAGAAUCGUUACCUUGUCUAUUCCACAUUAAAGUAUAUAUACAAGGCAAAGCCCGGACUUUCAAGACUAACUAGAAAGCCCGGACAAAACAUAUAGCACAAAGCUCAGACCUUUUGCCUAGACAAAACUCAGACAAAGGCUACACAAACAAACCCUGACCUUAGUCCUAUACAAAAACUCUGACUAAAGAAACCAUUCUAAAACUUGGACAAAAGUCCCUAGGAUAAACUUGGGACUAUCUUUUACAAAUGUACAAUAAAGACCCUAAUAAAUUAGGAGACAUGCACUUAUCACCUAAAGUGCAUUAACAGAAAGUGACAUGUUUGUUGUGACUGGGGAAGUUGAGUGGGAUAAUCAUAAAGUUCAACAAUCUAUGAUAAAAGUUGCAGUCGUAGUUAGCAAGCUACUUGAUUCAACUUGGGGUAAGUUUCUCUAACUUGUGUCAACAAUCGAACAAUACUUAGACAUUGAUACAUCGUUCAAAUAGGGCAAUCGGGUGGUUAAAAGCAUAUGCGGAAUGGAUCUUAAAUAAGAAAACAGUAUCUGACAACUCUCGGAACACUUCAAUGGGAAUGGUAAGAGAAAAAUAAGGUCUAUCACUAAUGGUACAGUUGUAGCGGUUCACCUGUGGCUUGCAAGAUGGACCAAAUCAGUGCGAGACAAAUCACACAUUAUGUUUUUUAACUAUGAAGAAUGCAAGCACUACGCAUCCAAGUACCCAAAUCAAGAAAGUGAAGUGGGUGAAGCAUAUAGCUUGCUCAAGUUGAAGAUGAUGAAGAACCCGCUCUACUGAUGAUUGUAUGCAAGCAAAAGGAACAACGUGAGGUGUUGUGAGAUGGUGAUGGGGCAAGUGGCAAUUCAAAGGGUGCUAUGGAUCCAGAGUUGAAGGCGAAUUAAAGAGAUGAGGUUAAUUGUAAGUUUAUGGGUUUGCUAAUUUAGUCAAGUUAGAGUUAUAGUAGGAUCAGUGUUUGUUUCGUUUAAAAUAUGAAAGCUCAUAUUGUAAUUAUUUUGUCGUGGGUUUUUAAAUAAUAAGAAAAAGGUCGCAGCAGGUUGUUACAAAAAAUCUUCCUCUUGAAAUUAUUCAUAUACCAUUUAUGUCAAAUAUGGUCUUCUUGAAGACAAAUGAAGCUGCCUUAUCAAUAAUUGAUUGAAUAGGGAAAAUCUUUAAGUAUCAACUCAUAGGCUGUGGGCAUAGUUUCCUAAAAGUACAACCACACAAUAAAUGAACGUCCACACAAGACGGACUAUUAGUACAAUUUACAUCAAAUGCAUGCAGGGCAGUUGAUGUGGCUAGGAUAACAUAUCAGAAUCAGGGACGUAGCGUGUCAAGAUACAUAAACCCCAAUGUUUUAAAAAAAAAUCGUAGGAUUGGUAUGUUAAAUUUUUCAAGGACGUCAUAAAAUAAAUUAGUUGGACCCUAUAAUAGUAAAAGCAAAGAUUGUAUUGUGGUAAAUCUCCUUGUGUUCCAACAAGUUAGUUUCAAGUUCAAGUCUUACAUCUGUUGUUUUUAAGUUUAUAUUUUCCAUCAAAAUUAAACUAGUGUAUUAAAACACCACAACCACCCAUUGAUCCUCUAAUUUGGUUUUUUAAAAUGAUAAAUUUAAUGUCUCCAAAUAAUUUUAUUUCACAUUUGAUUACCAAAUAUGACUUUCAACAUAUAGUGGCGUUCAAAAAAAAAAAAAAAAAAAAAAAAAAAACUUAAACAAAUUUUUGAAGUUAUGUGAAGUAGUUGUGUUGUUUAGUUAGUUAUUGGUUUCAAACAACUUAUUAAUCACCACAAUUUGUUAACUUGAUUCUUAAAAAUGGUUCUUAAUAAUGUAGUGGUUUCAUGUCCACUAAAUGCUUCUAUAUUAUUUCCUAGCCCCGACCCGACCCGACUAUGAUGACCGACCCGAAUAUUUUAAUGUUUGGUUGUGAAAAAUUCUAACGCAAAAAAUGGACCCUAAUGAAACAAAAUACUAGGUCCGCCACUUGUCAGAAGUCGAAAUUUUAAUUUUCAGGAUUGUCUAAACAUCCCCCAUCUCGUACUAAACAUACCACUCUACGUGACAGAGUAUAUCUUUUUAAUGGUGAACCUCUUCUCUAAGUUUGUGAGAGUCUCGAUAAGGCUCGCAAGUUGA
Molecule: long non-coding RNA, 3179 nt
Filed under: Helianthus annuus (common sunflower)
Lineage: Eukaryota; Viridiplantae; Streptophyta; Magnoliopsida; Asterales; Asteraceae
Description: hypothetical non coding rna
Source: RNAcentral